AGACCCGAAACCCGGUGAUCUAGCCAUGGGCAGGUUGAAGGUUGGGUAACACUAACUGGAGGACCGAACCGACUAAUGUUGAAAAAUUAGCGGAUGACCUGUGGCUGGGGGUGAAAGGCCAAUCAAACCGGGAGAUAGCUGGUUCUCCCCGAAAGCUAUUUAGGUAGCGCCUCGUGAAUUCAUCUCCGGGGGUAGAGCACUGUUUCGGCUAGGGGGCCAUCCCGGCUUACCAACCCGAUGCAAACUGCGAAUACCGGAGAAUGUUAUCACGGGAGACACACGGCGGGUGCUAACGUCCGUCGUGAAGAGGGAAACAACCCAGACCGCCAGCUAAGGUCCCAAAGUCAUGGUUAAGUGGGAAACGAUGUGGGAAGGCCCAGACAGCCAGGAUGUUGGCUUAGAAGCAGCCAUCAUUUAAAGAAAGCGUAAUAGCUCACUGGUCGAGUCGGCCUGCGCGGAAGAUGUAACGGGGCUAAACCAUGCACCGAAGCUGCGGCAGCGACGCUUAUGCGUUGUUGGGUAGGGGAGCGUUCUGUAAGCCUGUGAAGGUGUGUCGUGAGGCAUGCUGGAGGUAUCAGAAGUGCGAAUGC
RNAcentral lists this ribosomal RNA (590 nucleotides) under Salmonella enterica subsp. enterica serovar Aberdeen. RNAcentral describes it as "partial 23S ribosomal RNA". It matches the Rfam family "Bacterial large subunit ribosomal RNA", at positions 711 to 1297 of the family's 2925-position model. The record is from RNAcentral. Lineage: Bacteria; Pseudomonadati; Pseudomonadota; Gammaproteobacteria; Enterobacterales; Enterobacteriaceae.